CGAACGGUUACGUAACACGUGAGCAAUCUGCGAUUUCUGGGGGAUAGCCGGCCAACGGCCGGGUAAUACCGCAUAUGCUCACGGGGAGGAGUCUCCCUGUGAGGAAACCUCCGGGGGAAAUCGAGGAGCUCGCGGCUAUCAGCUAGUUGGCGGGGUAAUGGCCCACCAAGGCGAUGACGGGUAGCUGGUCUGAGAGGAUGGCCAGCCACAUUGGGACUGAGAAACGGCCCAGACUCCUACGGGAGGCAGCAGUGGGGAAUCUUGCGCAAUGGCCGAAAGGCUGACGCAGCGACGCCGCGUGUGGGAGGACGCCCUUCGGGGUGUAAACCACUGUUGCCCGGGACGAACAUCCCCUUUCGAGGGGACUGACGGUACCGGGUGAGGAAGCACCGGCUAACUCCGUGCCAGCCGCCGCGG
Molecule: ribosomal RNA, 417 nt
Filed under: uncultured bacterium
Lineage: Bacteria
Description: bacterial SSU rRNA
Rfam family: Bacterial small subunit ribosomal RNA
Source: RNAcentral